Molecule: RNA transcript, 1942 nt
Organism: Phalaenopsis equestris
Lineage: Eukaryota; Viridiplantae; Streptophyta; Magnoliopsida; Asparagales; Orchidaceae
Gene name: polyprenol reductase 1-like
Exons: 8
Source: RefSeq, a predicted model, not a curated record
UUCACAGAAGCUCAACCCGAACCUCCAGCAGAAGCAAAAUCGUCCCUCUCCGCGAUCCUCGCCUUCUUUUGCUACUGAUCCUCCAAAACUCUUCAUGACCGGCGCUCUUUGAUCGCAAGUUCUCCUCGGCGACAAAUCCGAUGCCUUCAAUUUAUCUUCGCCGUGUCCUCCUUUUCUCGUUUUCUUCUUCAUUAUCACAGAUUUUAUGCCGCUAACACCUCUCCGAGUUUCUAGAGCCCAAUGCUGAGUUGCCACUCUUCCUUCCCGCUCUCCCAUUGCGCUUCCAAUAUCAUCUUUUCCGCUCUCGUUCGCCUCUCCAUCUUGGCUUUCUCCUCCGACGUCGCAGCUCAGUUCGGCCGGAACCAUAUCUUUUUCAUCAAUCCGUACAGCUAUUGCGCGUCUGAGAACCCGACCGGUAAUCCAAUAGGCCGCUGAAACUUAUUGCUUACGACUGGUAUUUCUUUGAGCUCACGCUGCUUUUCGUGGAACCCCACAGAACUUGUAUUCCUUUUUAUUGGGGUUGGGAUUUAGUCUCUCUUUCAGCUCCUCUGCUGCUCCUGAGCAACUCAAUGGCCACAGUUCAUGCUCUGAUGGAGUUUGGGAUGAUGCCUCUGCUGCGUGUCGCUUGGGUUGCGGCGACUCUGCCGAUAGUCGUAGCCUCGGUUCCCGUUGAGUCCAUUGGCUUUUUCCGUCGGCUUCUUCUAGGGUUUGCUGCUAGGGGGAAGACUAUGCCGCAGUCGUCUACCAAGUUAACCGUUCCACAGAAGUUCUUUCUGCAUUUCUACGUCAUUGCCGUGCUUUUGACAACCGGCUUAGUGCUUUCUAUGUGGUUCUAUGCUUAUAAAAAGAUGACCCCAUUAGCCAGCGAACCAUUGGAAUUCUCUACAAUUGCUAGUCACCUAACUGGUGGUUCACAUAUGCUUUCUAUUCACAAAAGCUCAAUAGUUCCAAUGAAGCGAAGAUUUGAGGUUUGGAAAACUGUAUUUGUUCUUCUGUUGAUGGAAGCACAGGCCUUGAGGCGUUUGUAUGAGACACUUUACGUGUUUAAUUAUGGUCCUUCUGCUCGCAUGCAUAUACUGGGCUACUUGGCUGGCUUGUUCUUCUAUACUGCAGCACCACUUUCUAUUGCAAGUACGUGUGCUGUAGAGGCAAUUAAUUAUGUAGGCAGUCAAAUAGUGGAAUUUAUUGUCAAAGGACGGUCUCAUAUGCCAGAUGUCGAGUUCUUUCACUGGGAACUUUUGAAGCCGCUCUUUUAUUUGGGUUGGUGCCAGUGGCUUGGAGCCGCAAUUUUUGUUUGGGGAUGGAUGCACCAGCUUCACUGUCAUGCAAUUCUUGGAUCUUUGCGAGAGCAGAGAGGAGCUGAUGAAUACAUAAUUCCGAAGGGUGACUGGUUUGAAUAUGUUUCCUGCCCACAUUACUUUGCUGAAAUAGUCAUUUAUGCAGGUUUCUUACUUGCUAGUGGAGGUGUAGACCCAACAAUUUGGCUCCUUUUCCUCUUUGUGGUAUCAAAUCUCGUUUUUGCAGCAACUGAAACACAUAGGUGGUACCAUCAGAAGUUUGAGAGUUAUCCUCCUUCGCGGCGAGCUAUAUUACCAUGGAUUUAUUAAACAUACAAGUUUUUUAUUUAUAAAAUAUAGAGAUAAUUCAGAUUUAUGAAUGCUGCAAAUAUGCAGAGCAAUGAAGUGAAGUUUUUCUAAAUUUAUCUUUACUGUUUUCAAUAUUUUCAGCACCAGAAAACUUGUGUUCUGCUUGAAGUCUUGCUUGCAUUUGGCCUCCUGAAAUUUGAUACAGAAAUCUUUCAAUCUAAAGUUUUCUAUUUGAUCUUUUACACAAUUCCUAUGUAUUUACAUAUCUAACUAAAUUUUACUUUGUUACAUUUAUGCCAAUUACCACCCAACUCUUUUGUAUGACAACCUCGCCCGCCUUUAAAAAUUGAAUAAGA